Molecule: long non-coding RNA, 918 nt
Filed under: Cicer arietinum (chickpea)
Lineage: Eukaryota; Viridiplantae; Streptophyta; Magnoliopsida; Fabales; Fabaceae
Description: long non-coding RNA (CARI_LNC002186)
Source: RNAcentral
CCACUGGUUUGUUUCUGCUACCCCAUUCUUUCUCAUUCUUUCAAUUUUAACAACCCACCUUAGGUCACCACAAUUACCACCUAUUUCUUCACAAAUUACAAAUUAAGGUUGGUUAAUCAAUGAGUACUCUUUUUGUAUAGAUUACAAGAAUAAGUUAAACAUUAAUUAGGGUUUGCUCCAAUUUUCGUUUUUUUUUUUUUUUAAAAGUCUGAGUGAAAUUGCAGAGUUCUAAAAUUAAGAUCUAUCAAAUUUCUGCAUUCUAGCAUCUUUUGCUAUCUGUUAUUUACAUAAGUGAUUAUGAGAAUUGACGUUAGAUUAUUGAGAAAAAUCUGCACUUGAACCUUUUUAUUGGCCUUUAAUUGAAAACAUUUAAAAGCAACAUUAUCUAAUAAUAAUGUUUAUGUUAUUGUGUAUUAUAGGGGCAAGGAUGUUAGUGGUGAAAACUUACAUCAAGGUUAUACUCAUGUAUUUGAAUCAACCUUUGAGAGUGUGGAAGGCAUUGCAGAGUAUGUAGCUCAUCCUACCCAUGUUGAGUAUGCUAAUUUGCUCCUUCCCUCUUUGGAAAAAGUGCUUAUAAUUGACUAUAAGCCCACCUUCGUUAAUCUUUAAUCUUUGAUCGGAUCACUAAUGGAAUAUUCUGUUCAAAAUAAAUUUGGGGGCAAACAAUUUCAUGGAUGAUGAUGGUGUCUCUUAUUGUAUUGGUUCUGCUGUUUUUUUUUUUUUUUUUUGGAAAAAGUGCUUAUAAUUGACUAUAAGCCCACCUUCGUUAAUCUUUAAUCUUUGAUCGGAUCACUAAUGGAAUAUUCUGUUCAAAAUAAAUUUGGGGGCAAACAAUUUCAUGGAUGAUGAUGGUGUCUCUUAUUGUAUUGGUUCUGCUUUUUUUUUUUUUUUUUGUUAAAAAUAAACCAAUUAAAUUCC